ACGGGAGGCAGCAGGUAAGAAUAUUCCGCAAUGGACGAAAGUCUGACGGAGCGACGCCGCGUGUAUGAUGAAGGUCGAAAGAUUGUAAAAUACUUUUUUGUGCGAGGAAUAAUGGGCAGUGAUGUUCAGAUGACGGUAACACAAGAAUAAGCAACGGCUAAUUACGUGCCAGCAGCCGCGGUAAUACGCAAGUUGCGAGCGUUGUUCGGAAUUAUUGGGCGUAAAGGGCGUGCAGGCGGUCAGGUAAGCUUGGUGUGAAUCCCGUGGCUCAACCACGGAACUGCAUUGAGAACUGCUUGGCUGGAGUUAGUGAAGGGGAACCGGAAUUCCAGGUGUAGGGGUGAAAUCUGUAGAUAUCUGGAAGAACACCAAUGGCGAAGGCAGGUUUCUGGCACAUAACUGACGCUGAGGCGCGAAGGUGCGGGGAGCAAACAGGAUUAGAUACCCUGGUA
This 452-nucleotide ribosomal RNA is filed under the name uncultured Treponema sp. Its description in RNAcentral is "partial 16S ribosomal RNA". It matches the Rfam family "Bacterial small subunit ribosomal RNA", at positions 341 to 792 of the family's 1533-position model. The record is from RNAcentral. Lineage: Bacteria; Pseudomonadati; Spirochaetota; Spirochaetia; Treponematales; Treponemataceae.